Molecule: non-coding RNA, 46 nt
Organism: Canis lupus familiaris (dog)
Lineage: Eukaryota; Metazoa; Chordata; Mammalia; Carnivora; Canidae
Source: Rfam
CCAAAGGCUCUUUUCAGAGCCGUCCACAUUUUCAAAUUAGGAAGCU